This 435-nucleotide ribosomal RNA is filed under the name uncultured bacterium. RNAcentral describes it as "bacterial SSU rRNA". It matches the Rfam family "Bacterial small subunit ribosomal RNA", at positions 958 to 1392 of the family's 1533-position model. The record is from RNAcentral.
AACGCCAAGAACCUUACCAAGGCUUGACAUGAACCGGAAAGGCGUAGAAAUACGUCCCCCACUUGUGGUCGGUUUACAGGUGGUGCAUGGUUGUCGUCAGCUCGUGUCGUGAGAUGUUGGGUUAAGUCCCGCAACGAGCGCAACCCUCGUUCUAUGUUGCCAGCACGUGAUGGUGGGGACUCAUAGGAGACUGCCGGGGUCAACUCGGAGGAAGGUGGGGAUGACGUCAAAUCAUCAUGCCCCUUAUGUCUUGGGCUCCACGCAUGCUACAGUGGCCGGUUCAAAGGGUUGCGAUACUGUGAGGUGGAGCUAAUCCCAAAAAGCCGGUCUCAGUUCGGAUUGGGGUCUGCAACUCGACCCCAUGAAGUCGGAGUCGCUAGUAAUCGCAGAUCAGCAACGCUGCGGUGAAUACGUUCCCGGGCCUUGUACACACCG